GGUAAACCAUGAAGGUUUUGUAUUUUUCUCUUUGAAUUGGGAUCAGUAAGAAUAGAUGAAGUAAUAAACAUAAAUUGAAUAUAAGGAAAUAGUGAUUCCGGGGACAAAAUCCUUAUAAGGAGGGGAGAAUGUCAGGACCCUAAAUUUUAAACAAUUCUAUUUUUUACCAAUAAUUUUUUUAAAUUUAAUAUUAGUAUUGAUUAUCAAUAUUAUAUUGAGUGUCUGUGUUAUGAGCAUAGCAAGAUAGUCAAAC
RNAcentral lists this long non-coding RNA (253 nucleotides) under Panax ginseng (ginseng). RNAcentral describes it as "long non-coding RNA (PGIN_LNC008632)". The record is from RNAcentral. Lineage: Eukaryota; Viridiplantae; Streptophyta; Magnoliopsida; Apiales; Araliaceae.